CGUGUUGUGUGUUUGGGCCGUGAAGUGUGAAGAAAUGUGUCGUCUCUAAUCCUGAUUUGCAGAGAAGAAACGAGAUCCUCUUCCCUCUUCGUGCGACGGUGACUCUAUGUCGUUUCCGCUUUCUCUUACCUUUUGAAACGGUUUGAGUAAAGAGCUCGUGUUUAAUCUCAUUGAUUCACCCAUCCACUACGUCAUCAUCAAUUCCCUUUUUCGAUCUCAAAGUCGGUGAUUUCAAUAUAAAUAAGUGGUUUUCUUCUCCGAUCUGAAGUCCGGCAACUGCUCCUCCGUCGUCAAGGCUAGGCUUCUGCGGUUUUGGGUCGAUAUGCUUCGUAUCUCUUUUGUUUCGUCAUGAAAAGCGUUUCAAGGAGUGUCCUCAUCCAGAUGAUAAGCAGAGGAACCAACUUAGCAGAGAAUAGGGUUUGGCUCCAAGGCAAAUCAAGUUCUGGUUCCAGAACAGAAGAAAGGCGCAACAUGAGAGACCAGAUAACAAUGCACUAAAGGCAGAGAACGACAAGAGUCGAUGUGAGAACAUAGCCAUUAAAGAAGCACUCAAGCAUGCUAUAUUCAAAGCACACAAGCAAGCAAGGACCCAAAUCACUCAAGAGAAAGGAAGGAGCGUUAAGCAGAUCAGAGCAGUGAACAUUUUGUUGGAAUUAAUUCUCUUUUUAAGUUUUAUUUUAUGGAGAAUUAUUUAUUUUUAAUUUUAAUGGUUUAGGAUAAUUACAAAGAAUAGAAGAAUCUGAAUGAUUUUAUGAUUUAUAUGUCCUAACCCCUAAUCUUACGUGUAGGUUCAGACUACGCCUUACGUUGGCGAGGCGGUAUGAAGCGACUCUAUAGCUUAGAGGCGAGCUUGACCUUCCCAUCGCCUCAAUGGUUGAAGCGCUUUUUUAAACCCAGAGCCCAAGAGAAAAUGUUAAAGACGGUUGGAUCCAGAUCGAUAGCUGCUAGGGGGAAGAAAGGUUCAGAAAUAACACGUAAGAAACUGUUGGAAUGAAAAACUUUAUAAAGAUGGAGAAAGUGUUUGUUUGAAGAGAAAGAAGUUUUGUGAAGAAGAAAUAUUAUAUAAUUUAGAAGA
Molecule: long non-coding RNA, 1075 nt
Organism: Brassica oleracea var. oleracea
Lineage: Eukaryota; Viridiplantae; Streptophyta; Magnoliopsida; Brassicales; Brassicaceae
Exons: 4
Source: RefSeq, a predicted model, not a curated record